This 905-nucleotide ribosomal RNA is filed under the name Aplosporella fabaeformis. Its description in RNAcentral is "LSU rRNA". It matches the Rfam family "Eukaryotic large subunit ribosomal RNA", at positions 38 to 961 of the family's 3401-position model. Lineage: Eukaryota; Fungi; Ascomycota; Dothideomycetes; Botryosphaeriales; Aplosporellaceae. The record is from RNAcentral.
GCAUAUCAAUAAGCGGAGGAAAAGAAACCAACAGGGAUUGCCUUAGUAACGGCGAGUGAAGCGGCAACAGCUCAAAUUUGAAAGCUGGCCCUUUCAGGGUCCGCAUUGUAAUUUGUAGAGGAUGAUUCGGCGAGGGCUCCCGCCUAAGUCCCCUGGAACGGGGCGUCAUAGAGGGUGAGAAUCCCGUAUGCGGUGGGCUGCCUUAGCCAUGUGAAUCUCCUUCGACGAGUCGAGUUGUUUGGGAAUGCAGCUCUAAAUGGGAGGUAAAUUUCUUCUAAAGCUAAAUACCGGCCAGAGACCGAUAGCGCACAAGUAGAGUGAUCGAAAGAUGAAAAGCACUUUGGAAAGAGAGUUAAAAAGUACGUGAAAUUGUUGAAAGGGAAGCGCUUGCAACCAGACUUGUCCGCAGUUGCUCAGCCGGUCUCCUGACCGGCGUACUCUUCUGCGGCCAGGCCAGCAUCAGUUCGGGCGGUCGGAUAAAGACCUCGGGAAUGUAGCUCCUCUCGGGGAGUGUUAUAGCCCGGGGUGGAAUGCGGCCAGCCUGGACUGAGGAUCUCGCUUCGGCAAGGAUGCUGGCGUAAUGGUUGUAAGCGGCCCGUCUUGAAACACGGACCAAGGAGUCUAACAUCUAUGCGAGUGUUUGGGUGUCAAACCCAUACGCGUAAUGAAAGUGAACGGAGGUGGGAACCCGCAAGGGUGCACCAUCGGCCGAUCCUGAUGUCUUCGGAUGGAUUUGAGCAAGAGCAUAGCUGUUGGGACCCGAAAGAUGGUGAACUAUGCCUGAAUAGGGUGAAGCCAGAGGAAACUCUGGUGGAGGCUCGCAGCGGUUCUGACGUGCAAAUCGAUCGUCAAAUUUGGGUAUAGGGGCGAAAGACUAAUCGAACCAUCUAGUAGCUGGUUCCUGC